CUCGUAGGUGGCCAACUAAGUCAGACGUGAAAUCCCUCGGCUUAACCGGGGAACUGCGUCUGAUACUGGAUGGCUUGAGUUUGGGAGAGGGACGCGGAAUUCCAGGUGUAGCGGUGAAAUGCGUAGAUAUCUGGAGGAACACCGGUGGCGAAGGCGGCGUUCUGGACCAAUACUGACACUGAGGAGCGAAAGCCAGGGGAGCAAACG
This 207-nucleotide ribosomal RNA is filed under the name uncultured bacterium. RNAcentral describes it as "partial 16S ribosomal RNA". It matches the Rfam family "Bacterial small subunit ribosomal RNA", at positions 568 to 774 of the family's 1533-position model. The record is from RNAcentral.